GACGAACGCUGGCGGCGCGCCUAACACAUGCAAGUCGAACGGAGCGUACUGUGUGAAGCCUUUCGGGGCGGAACUUUGUAUUGCUUAGUGGCGAACGGGUGAGUAACACGUGAGCAACCUACCCUAAAGUGGGGGACAACAUUUGGAAACGAAUGCUAAUACCGCAUAAGACCACGGAAUCGAGUGAUUCAGUGGCCAAAGGAUUUAUUCGCUUUAGGAUGGGCUCGCGCCUGAUUAGGUAGUUGGUGGGGUAACGGCUCACCAAGCCAACGAUCAGUAGCCGGACUGAGAGGUCGAUCGGCCACAUUGGGACUGAGACACGGCCCAGACUCCUACGGGAGGCAGCAGUGGGGAAUAUUGGGCAAUGGGCGAAAGCCUGACCCAGCGACGCCGCGUGGAGGAAGAAGGUUUUCGGAUUGUAAACUCCUGUCUUCGGGGAAGAUAAUGACGGUACCCGAGGAGGAAGCCACGGCUAACUACGUGCCAGCAGCCGCCGUAAGAC
RNAcentral lists this ribosomal RNA (502 nucleotides) under uncultured bacterium. RNAcentral's name for it is "bacterial SSU rRNA". It matches the Rfam family "Bacterial small subunit ribosomal RNA", at positions 28 to 526 of the family's 1533-position model. The record is from RNAcentral.